This 557-nucleotide ribosomal RNA is filed under the name uncultured archaeon. RNAcentral's name for it is "bacterial SSU rRNA". It matches the Rfam family "Archaeal small subunit ribosomal RNA", at positions 325 to 879 of the family's 1478-position model. The record is from RNAcentral.
ACGGGGUGCAGCAGGCGCGAAACCUCCGCAAUGUGAGAAAUCGCGACGGGGGGAUCCCAAGUGCCAUUCUUAACGGGAUGGCUUUUCAUUAGUGUAAAGAGCUUUUGGAAUAAGGGCUGGGCAAGACCGGUGCCAGCCGCCGCGGUAACACCGGCAGCUCUAGUGGUAGCAGUUUUUAUUGGGCCUAAAGCGUCCGUAGCCGGUUUAAUAAGUCUCUGGUGAAAUCCUGUAGCUUAACUGUGGGAAUUGCUGGAGAUACUAUUAGACUUGAGACCGGGAGAGGUUAGAGGUACUCCCAGGGUAGAGGUGAAAUUCUGUAAUCCUGGGAGGACCGCCUGUUGCGAAGGCGUCUAACUGGAACGGUUCUGACGGUGAGGGACGAAAGUUAGGGGCGCGAACCGGAUUAGAUACCCGGGUAGUCCUAACUGUAAACGGUGCGGACAUGGUGUUGGGGUGGCUUUGAGCUGGUUCCAGUGCCGAAGGGAAGCUGUUAAGUUCCGCCGCCUGGGAAGUACGGUCGCAAAGACUGAAACUUAAAGGAAUUGGCGGGGGAGCAC